This 332-nucleotide ribosomal RNA is filed under the name uncultured Anoxybacillus sp. RNAcentral describes it as "bacterial SSU rRNA". It matches the Rfam family "Bacterial small subunit ribosomal RNA", at positions 1051 to 1382 of the family's 1533-position model. The record is from RNAcentral. Lineage: Bacteria; Bacillati; Bacillota; Bacilli; Caryophanales; Anoxybacillaceae.
GUCGUCAGCUCGUGUCGUGAGAUGUUGGGUUAAGUCCCGCAACGAGCGCAACCCUCGACCUUAGUUGCCAGCAUUCAGUUGGGCACUCUAAGGUGACUGCCGGCUAAAAGUCGGAGGAAGGUGGGGAUGACGUCAAAUCAUCAUCGCCCCUUUAUGACCUGGGCUACACACGUGCUACAAUGGGCGGUACAAAGGGUCGCGAACCCGCGAGGGGGAGCCAAUCCCAAAAAGCCGCUCUCAGUUCGGAUUGCAGGCUGCAACUCGCCUGCAUGAAGCCGGAAUCGCUAGUAAUCGCGGAUCAGCAUGCCGCGGUGAAUACGUUCCCGGGCCUU